CUACGUGCCAGCAGCCGCGGUAAUACGGAAGGUCCGGGCGUUAUCCGGAUUUAUUGGGUUUAAAGGGAGCGUAGGCCGGAGAUUAAGUGUGUUGUGAAAUGUAGACGCUCAACGUCUGACUUGCAGCGCAUACUGGUUUCCUUGAGUACGCACAACGUUGGCGGAAUUCGUCGUGUAGCGGUGAAAUGCUUAGAUAUGACGAAGAACUCCGAUUGCGAAGGCAGCUGACGGGAGCGCAACUGACGCUUAAGCUCGAAGGUGCGGGUAUCGAACAGGAUUAGAUACCCUGGUAGUCCGCACAGUAAACGAUGGAUGCCCGCUGUUGGUACCUGGUAUCAGCGGCUAAGCGAAAGCAUUAAGCAUCCCACCUGGGGAGUACGCCGGCAACGGUGAAACUCAAAGGAAUUGACGGGGGCCCGCACAAGCGGAGGAACAUGUGGUUUAAUUCGAUGAUACGCGAGGAACCUUACCCGGGCUUGAAUUGCAGAGGAAGGAUUUAGAGAUA
Molecule: ribosomal RNA, 505 nt
Filed under: uncultured bacterium
Lineage: Bacteria
Description: bacterial SSU rRNA
Rfam family: Bacterial small subunit ribosomal RNA
Source: RNAcentral